Molecule: ribosomal RNA, 309 nt
Filed under: Nitratireductor aquibiodomus
Lineage: Bacteria; Pseudomonadati; Pseudomonadota; Alphaproteobacteria; Hyphomicrobiales; Phyllobacteriaceae
Description: bacterial SSU rRNA
Rfam family: Bacterial small subunit ribosomal RNA
Source: RNAcentral
GCAGUCGAGCGCCCCUUCGGGGGAGCGGCAGACGGGUGAGUAAUGCAUGGGAAUCUACCCAGCUCUACGGAAUAACUCAGGGAAACUUGAACUAAUACCGUAUGCGCCCUUCGGGGGAAAGAUUUAUCGGAGUUGGAUGAGCCCAUGUCUGAUUAGCUAGUUGGUGGGGUAAAGGCCUACCAAGGCGACGAUCAGUAGCUGGUCUGAGAGGAUGAUCAGCCACACUGGGACUGAGACACGGCCCAGACUCCUACGGGAGGCAGCAGUGGGAAUAUUGGACAAUGGGGGCAACCCUGAUCCAGCCAUGCC